Maniola jurtina (meadow brown) is the source of this 1355-nucleotide RNA transcript. RefSeq lists it as uncharacterized. NCBI's taxonomy places the organism in Eukaryota, Metazoa, Arthropoda, Insecta, Lepidoptera, Nymphalidae. The transcript is spliced from 4 exons. The record is from RefSeq and is a predicted model, not a curated record.
CAAACGCCAUCACAAACGAAGUCCCAAACAGCUUUUCGAUUAGGUAGUGUUUAUUUGAAAAUCGAAAUCGAAAUCUGAAUCUGAUACACAACAAUCACAGAGUUAUCAAUAAUAUAAAAUGUUAUUCCACGAGCAACUCGACAUUAAAUUGAUACGUGCAGUGAAAGCGAACCCUGUGCUAUAUGACCACAAUCAUGAAAAAUACAUGGACUUCAACGAGCGGGAAGUGACUUGGCAGAGAAUUGGCGAUGAGCUUAAAAGUUCCGCUCCGGACUGUAAAGUAAGAUGGAUAAACAUCAGAGAUGUGUACAGACGAAUUCUAAGAAAAGGCUUAGAGUCCGGGCAGCAGCGUCCAAAACUUUACAAGUAUGAAAAUGAAAUCUCAUUUUUGAGGCCUUACUACAAAGAUGUGUCAAUCCAGCUCGAAGAAUUUGAAUCUGAUGACAGAAGUAACCAGGGGAAUGAUGAUUGUGGUGAUGAAGGUGUGUUCGAAAGUAAUAAUUCUGAUGAGGACUCCUCAGAAUAUUUAAUAGAAAGGAAGCCGAAGAUUACUAGGUCUAAGUCCAGUAAGAAGAAGAGAAGGAAGAGAUUUACCGAAGCCAUUGUUGAUCCAAUGAGUACCCCUACAUUUAACGAGCCUACAAUCCCUAUAGAAUUCGAGUCAUCCGAUCCCGUUGAUGCUUUUUUACUUAGCAUUGGCGCAACAUUGAAAACGUUUUCACCAUAUCACCUAAACUUGGCAAAGAGCAAGAUAUUCUCGAUCGUCCAAGAACACGAUUUACAGCAAAUAGUUCAAAAAGAAGAACAGAGCGAGGCGCCGAAACAUGAUGUUAAAAUUUCUUCGAGUGAAGCCAUUUUUUUGUAGUAUGUAAAUGAAAGUGGUUGGUGCAAAAAUUAAGUUAUUUCAUGCAGUUAACUUCGCUGCUUUAGGUUAUUAUGAUGACAUUGAACGCAUUCUAGAGCAGUUGGUAUCUUUUGCUCCUAAGGUUCUGUGCCUGAAAAGUGCCAACAAGAUUUUAUUACUAAGCCUUCGUUGUCUGUCUGUCUGUCAGCGGUAAAGAGCUUAUAUAGCGCCGCGGUGUUGCAUUAUAGAAAAUACUAUGAAUUUUUCGGUAAAAUCUCGUGGUUGAAAGUAUGUUUCCGUGUUUAUCAUUAUUAAUGUAUUUGUUUAAGAAAAACUGAUUUAUUUGUAAGAAGGUUGUAGUGAUCUUCAUUGAAGGUGAAAAGAAUGUUGUCAUAAGAAGUUAAUGACCUAUAAUUUCAAGGAGAAUAUUAGAUAAACUUAGUAAUUAAAUAGCAAAAACAGUCGUAUACCUAUUGUGCUUGUAAUUACUAUAAUUAAAUAUUAUACAAUU